Molecule: long non-coding RNA, 1265 nt
Filed under: Rattus norvegicus (Norway rat)
Lineage: Eukaryota; Metazoa; Chordata; Mammalia; Rodentia; Muridae
Description: long non-coding RNA NONRATT005028
Source: RNAcentral
AAGAAGAAAAACACCUUGAGCCUUAAAACCCGGCUGCUGGGAAAUACAUAUGCUGUUCCUAGAACAUUCACUGUGCCUUUGCCUGCGACCUCAGAAGGAAAGCCAAGGGCAAGGAAAGGAGACCAAAAUUUCUUGGGGAAGAUUUUUCAAGCAGCCCGUAAGUGCCCAAGCACAUUUGCCCCUGGUUGCCUGCCUGGGCCCCAUGUGGCCAGCAGAUGCUGGAGUCUGCCAGCUCAGACCUUCACCUGUACCUCCCUGAAUACCAGCGUUUAACCUUCAAGACGUUCCAUGUGCUGAAAUUAUUUAUUUUGUAAGGAGGAGUUUUCAUUUUUUUUUAAGAAAAAAAAAUCUCCUUCCUUUUUUUUUCUUUUUUCUUUUUUCUUUUUUCUUUCCUCUUUUUUUAACUUUUUUUUUUUUUAAUUUUCUGUCUUUAAGGUAGAUUGUUGGCGCCUUCCCCAAAGGGUAUGGUCAUCUGUUGUUAAAUUAUGUUCUUAACUGUAACCAUUUUUUUAAUUUAUCUCUUUAACCUUUUUUAUUAUUAAAAGCAAGUCUCUUUGAAUUCUUCAUUCUAGAUUUGUACAAAUGCUUUUUUUUUUUUUUUUUUUGUGCAUCCUUGUGGGUCCCCACCCCCCUUCUCUGUUGUUUUCGUUCUCGGUGAUAACAAACUGGAAACCUGUUUCUCUCUGUGGACAAAUGAGAGGUUUCAAAUGCAGUGAGCUAUCACUGAGUCCUUUUGCAGUGUUUUCCGCCACAGAUCUUUGGGCUGCCUGGACUGUAUGUGGAUGUGUGCGUGUGUUGUGAACAACGCAAGCUUCUGCAAGCGUGUGUCAUGGAUAGCCCCUUGCCUGCUCUCCUGCAGAGAGACAUCGGACAGACCUUAAUUCUUAUUUCACUGCUGUGGUUGGAGAGUGUACGGAUUGCUUUUUUUUUUUUAAAUGACAGCAGACUUUUUUUUUUAAUUUAAAAAAAGAUAUAUUAACAGUUUUAGAAGUCAGUAGAAUAAAACCUUAUAAUAUGGCAUCUUUCGAUUUCUGUAUAAAAACAGACCUUUUAAAAACUAUUUCUGUAACUUAAGAAACCUGACAUUUAUGUCAUUAUUUCUCUUUAGGUAAGGUUUGGUUUGUUUGUGUCUUGUUUGUUCGCCCCACCCCACCCUCCCGUCCAAAACUGUUUCUUCUUUGUGCACCCCGCCUUUCUUCCCUUCCUUCCUUUCUUUUUUUGUAUAUUAUUGUUUACAAUAAAUAUACAUUGCAUUAAAGUGAAAA